Ailuropoda melanoleuca (giant panda) is the source of this 262-nucleotide long non-coding RNA. RefSeq lists it as uncharacterized. The record is from RefSeq and is a predicted model, not a curated record. Lineage: Eukaryota; Metazoa; Chordata; Mammalia; Carnivora; Ursidae. The transcript is spliced from 2 exons.
GUCGCCUGAUUAAAACACCCCAACCCUGACUCUGCAGUUGGGAGAGGAGCCCCAGCCCUAGGAUUUCCAGGUAUUCCAAUCAGCAAUCAGGGCAGAACACAGAGAGCUCACCAUGGAGUCUAUGCUCGGCUGGGUUUUCCUUGUUGCUCUUUUAAAAGGUGUCCAGUGUGAGGUGCAGCUGGUGGAGUCUGGCGGAGACCUGGUGAAGCCUGGGGGGUCCCUGAGACUCUCCUGUGCAGCCUCUGGAUUCACCUUCAGUAGC